UCCUACGGGAGGCAGCAGUGGGGAAUAUUGGACAAUGGGCGAAAGCCUGAUCCAGCAACGCCGCGUGGAGGAUGAAGGCCUUCGGGUUGUAAACUCCUGUCAGGUGGGACGAAAAGGCUGCGGUCAAUAACCGGAGCACUUGACGGUACCACCGGAGGAAGCCCCGGCUAACUACGUGCCAGCAGCCGCGGUAACACGUAGGGGGCAAGCGUUAUUCGGAAUUAUUGGGCGUAAAGGGCGCGUAGGCGGCCAGACAAGUCAGGGGUGAAAUCCCUCGGCUCAACCGAGGACCUGCCUCUGAAACUAUUUGGCUUGAGGCCGGGAGAGGGUAGUGGAAUUCCCAGUGUAGCGGUGAAAUGCGUAGAUAUUGGGAGGAACACCAGUUGCGAAGGCGGCUACCUGGACCGGUUCUGACGCUGAGGCGCGAAAGUGUGGGGAGCAAACAGGAUUAGAUACCCUGGUAGUCCACACUGUAAACGAUGAGCACUCGGUGUCGCGGGUGUCGACCCCUGCGGUGCCUUAGGUAACCCGUUAAGUGCUCCGCCUGGGGAGUACGGUCGCAAGGCUGAAACUCAAAUGAAUUGACGG
This 588-nucleotide ribosomal RNA is filed under the name uncultured bacterium. RNAcentral's name for it is "bacterial SSU rRNA". It matches the Rfam family "Bacterial small subunit ribosomal RNA", at positions 337 to 916 of the family's 1533-position model. The record is from RNAcentral.